ACCCAGCUGGCUCAGUUGGUGGAGCAUGUGACUCUUGAUCUUGGGUUGUGAGUUUGAGCCCCACAUUGGGUG
This 72-nucleotide transfer RNA is filed under the name Ailuropoda melanoleuca (giant panda). It matches the Rfam family "tRNA". Rfam says of the family: Transfer RNA (tRNA) molecules are approximately 80 nucleotides in length. Their secondary structure includes four short double-helical elements and three loops (D, anti-codon, and T loops). Further hydrogen bonds mediate the characteristic L-shaped molecular structure. tRNAs have two regions of fundamental functional importance: the anti-codon, which is responsible for specific mRNA codon recognition, and the 3' end, to which the tRNAs corresponding amino acid is attached (by aminoacyl-tRNA synthetases). tRNAs cope with the degeneracy of the genetic code in two manners: having more than one tRNA (with a specific anti-codon) for a particular amino acid; and 'wobble' base-pairing, i.e. permitting non-standard base-pairing at the 3rd anti-codon position. Lineage: Eukaryota; Metazoa; Chordata; Mammalia; Carnivora; Ursidae. The record is from Rfam by way of RNAcentral.